AUACCGAGACUUCCUGCACCAAGU
Molecule: non-coding RNA, 24 nt
Filed under: Arabidopsis thaliana (thale cress)
Lineage: Eukaryota; Viridiplantae; Streptophyta; Magnoliopsida; Brassicales; Brassicaceae
Source: RNAcentral